UAAAAAUUGUCCAAUGAUUUUUAUUUCUGAUUCAAAAAGUUAUACCUACUUAUUGUUUGUUCUCUUCACAUGAUUUAGCAAACAGACAGUUAACAAUACUAUGUACACCCACCUUAUAGUCAGUAAACACAACACAAAAACGACACAUAUGUGACAUUGUUAUUAAUUAGUAAUUUUGUUCGUUUCUUAUUUGCCUUGUCUAUUACCUACACAUAAUAUGAUUAUGUCUGUAGCACUUUUAGCCCUAUAUGUUUGUAAUUACAGUAAAUAAACUGCAAUAAUUAAAACAUUCUCAGCACUUGCCCUAUGUUUGUCUCGAAGUGCUGCUUAAAACAAAAGACGGAAGACCGCACGUGGUGUGUUAUGUCUGCUACCAUUUAUUGAGCAAGUGUCACAAAUUCAUUGAAAGUGCCGUUAAAACUGACAAAGUUCUUCAACGACUAUGUAGCAGUGGUAUACAGUUAACCGAGCAGCAUAUUGCAGCGAUAGACAAGGCUUUCUUACUCACACCAUUAACUAAGUCACGCGUUAUAAAUGUAAACGCAAUAAGCGAUUCAGACGGAGUCAGUAUAGAAGUGGCCGAAGUCAAGAGAGAAAUUGAAGAAGAUAAGCCUAUAUAUUAUGAGGUGGAAGUUGUUAAAGAUAAAGCUGAUUCUUUAGGGUUUGACGGUAUAAAUAAUACAGAACAUAGUUCAAAACAGUACGCUUGUACUAUCUGUGGUCAUUGCUUGCUGACCAAGUAAGUAUCCUACUAAUAUGUACCUUAUAUGCAUAUCUAAAAAUUUCUUCUUCUUCUCCUCAAUGGCUAUUGUGUUUCCACGUUUGCCAAUGUCACGUGAGCAUAGCCAUUACACGGUAUAUGAAGUUAUAAACCUUGGGGUUGAGUGCUAUUAGGUAUAGUCUAGCGUGCACACCUAAAACAGACAAACACAACGGCACAAAUAAGACAACACAGUUAGUAUAUACUAAUAAAAUCACAAAA
This is a long non-coding RNA of Ostrinia nubilalis (European corn borer), 982 nucleotides long. RefSeq lists it as uncharacterized. The record is from RefSeq and is a predicted model, not a curated record. The transcript is spliced from 3 exons. NCBI's taxonomy places the organism in Eukaryota, Metazoa, Arthropoda, Insecta, Lepidoptera, Crambidae.